Long non-coding RNA from Salvia miltiorrhiza (redroot sage), 1008 nucleotides. RefSeq lists it as uncharacterized. NCBI's taxonomy places the organism in Eukaryota, Viridiplantae, Streptophyta, Magnoliopsida, Lamiales, Lamiaceae. The transcript has 3 exons. The record is from RefSeq and is a predicted model, not a curated record.
GGUUGGAAAUCUUUGGAUAUCAUUGUUGUAGCUGAACGACUUGCACUAACUCUUGAAGCAACAAGGAGAUUAAAGGAGGUAGAAGAAUUGUUAGAGAGAUGUCUUGAUGCCAAGAAAAACUUACUUCCUCAUGAAAACUUUGCUUCUACAUGUGCAUUGACAUUUUCCUUAUUCUGCUGGUUCAAAACUCAUGGUGGUAAAGGUUAGAAAAUGGCAGCUUGAAUCUGAACUUUAGAAAUUUAAAUCUGUUAUUUCUGAAAUUGUUGGAUUUGUUUGAUUUUUGUAUUUGGACUUGCAGAGGUAUGGGCCUAAACCUUUGGCUGAUAUAAUCUGAUUUUCUAUAGUUGUUUAAUUCAUGUCAUGUUUCUUUCUUGUGGAGGAUGACAAAAUCUUGGUUAGUACUAUUGUUGCUUUAUAAAAAGAAGGAAAUAGUGCAUUUCACUUGGUCAGUAUAGAUUUCUGUAAGAAAGAAAUAUGUAGCCAAAAGAAUAAACUUUAUGAUUGUUUGACUACGUACUUGAUUGAAGUCUUUUGCUUUUCCUUUUUUCUGUACAUAGUGUAGCUUCUUGAUAAAGCUUAUUCCUACUGAGUUGAUCAAAGCUUAUCAAAAGGCCAUACUGAAUACACAUCCGUCGCUUCUUCCAGCAUUUGGUGGAAAAGGGUAUUACGGUAUGAAGGUGCACGAAACAGUAAUUGCAUCUGGAGCAAGAUAAAGAAGAAGAAAAGUGAUGCAGGAGAACCAGUAAAGUACAUGGGCUGUGGGGACUGCGAGAAUCUCAGUAAAGUACAUGGGCUAUGGUAGCUUGGGAUGGCUUGAGGUCAAAAGACAACCAGAGAAUCAUAGCAGGUUGAUUAACUAGUUCUUGAGGACUUGGUGCUAGAAACAUUGUAUGAUAGAUUUUUGUUUUAGCUAUAAGGUAGUUGGUAUCUUCAAUUUUGAAUCGGAAUAUGCAACGAUGAUGUAUACUUGAUAUUUGGUUCAUUUGUAUAAUAAUGUAUGAAUUUUUU